UACGUAGGGUGCGAGCGUUAAUCGGAAUUACUGGGCGUAAAGCGUGCGCAGGCGGUGAUGUAAGACAGGUGUGAAAUCCCCGGGCUUAACCUGGGAACUGCAUUUGUGACUGCAUCGCUGGAGUGCGGCAGAGGGGGAUGGAAUUCCGCGUGUAGCAGUGAAAUGCGUAGAUAUACGGAGGAACACCGAUGGCGAAGGCAAUCCCCUGGGCCUGCACUGACGCUCAUGCACGAAAGCGUGGGGAGCAAACAGG
This 253-nucleotide ribosomal RNA is filed under the name uncultured bacterium. Its description in RNAcentral is "partial 16S ribosomal RNA". It matches the Rfam family "Bacterial small subunit ribosomal RNA", at positions 524 to 776 of the family's 1533-position model. The record is from RNAcentral.